Gallus gallus (chicken) is the source of this 763-nucleotide long non-coding RNA. RefSeq lists it as uncharacterized. The transcript has 3 exons. Lineage: Eukaryota; Metazoa; Chordata; Aves; Galliformes; Phasianidae. The record is from RefSeq and is a predicted model, not a curated record.
AAGGCAGUUGUUGCUAAGAGUUAGCUUCAUGGCUGACUUUUCACUGUUCAGUUCAGUUCAGUUCUGCCUACAUUUAAUACACAGAGUACUUCCUACUAUAAAGAAGGAGUCUUUUUUUAUUCUUUUAUGUUUUUCUACUGCAGACAAGGGAGUUGCAAAGAAAGGAUAAAAACUGUCAUAACAUAUGAUCCCAGGUCAACCAAGAACAAAACUUAUGGAACUUCUUGUGUUUCUGUUUGAGCUCACUACUUCUGAUUCAAGAGGAAAUGCUACUGAAUGAGACAAGGGAACUGAUGACAAGAAACUGAGAAUGCUGAGUGUCAGUGUAGAGGCUGAGAGCGAACAGGAAGUUGUAAAGGGAUGCAUCCAGGACAGAAUCACAAACUCACAGAACUACAGGAAUUGGAAGAGACCUCAAGAGAUCAUCAAGUCCAACUUCCCAGCUAAAGAUGGUACUCUACAAUAGAAUGCACAGGUAGGUGUCUAGAUAGGUCUUAAAUAUCUCCACACAGAAGGAGACUCCACAGCUUCUAUGAGCAACAUUUCCAGUGCUCUGUCACCCUUAUUGUAAAUAAGUUCUUUGAAAUGUUUUUAAGAAACUUCCUAUGUACAAGUUUUUUAUCAUUGCUCCUUUUCCUUUCACUACACACUACUAAGAAGAGCCUGGCCUCAUUCAUUUGCCUCCUACCUCCCUUCAGAUAUUAUAAACAUUAAACAGAUCUCUCCUCAGUCUUCUUUUCUCCAGGCUGAACAGAUCCAGGUU